RNAcentral lists this ribosomal RNA (497 nucleotides) under uncultured bacterium. RNAcentral's name for it is "partial 16S ribosomal RNA". It matches the Rfam family "Bacterial small subunit ribosomal RNA", at positions 28 to 507 of the family's 1533-position model. The record is from RNAcentral.
GAUGAACGCUGGCGGCGUGCCUAAUACAUGCAAGUCGAGCGAACAGACGAGGAGCUUGCUCCUCUGACGUUAGCGGCGGACGGGUGAGUAACACGUGGAUAACCUACCUAUAAGACUGGGAUAACUUCGGGAAACCGGAGCUAAUACCGGAUAAUAUAUUCAACAGCAUGGUUCAAUAGUGAAAGACGGUUUUGCUGUCACUUAUAGAUGGAUCCGCGCCGCAUUAGCUAGUUGGUAAGGUAACGGCUUACCAAGGCGACGAUGCGUAGCCGACCUGAGAGGGUGAUCGGCCACACUGGAACUGAGACACGGUCCAGACUCCUACGGGAGGCAGCAGUAGGGAAUCUUCCGCAAUGGGCGAAAGCCUGACGGAGCAACGCCGCGUGAGUGAUGAAGGUCUUCGGGUCGUAAAACUCUGUUAUUAGGGAAGAACAAAUGUGUAAGUAACUAUGCACGUCUUGACGGUACCUGAUCAGAAAGCCACGGCUAACUACGUG